CAGUAGCCGCGGUAAUACGUAGGGGGCAGGCGUUAUCCGGAUUUACUGGGUGUAAAGGGAGCGUAGACGGAAUGGCAAGUCUGAAGUGAAAUGCCCGGGCUCAACCCGGGAACUGCUUUGGAAACUGUCGAUCUGGAGUGUUGGAGAGGUAAGUGGAAUUCCUGGUGUAGCGGUGAAAUGCGUAGAGAUCAGGAAGAACACCGGAGGCGAAGGCGGCUUACUGGACAAAGACUGACGUUGAGGCUCGAAAGCGUGGGAAGCAAACAGGAUUAGAUACCCCCGUAGUCCCUGUCUCUUAUAC
This 301-nucleotide ribosomal RNA is filed under the name uncultured bacterium. Its description in RNAcentral is "partial 16S ribosomal RNA". It matches the Rfam family "Bacterial small subunit ribosomal RNA", at positions 509 to 807 of the family's 1533-position model. The record is from RNAcentral.